Molecule: transfer RNA, 88 nt
Filed under: Desulfobacula sp.
Lineage: Bacteria; Pseudomonadati; Thermodesulfobacteriota; Desulfobacteria; Desulfobacterales; Desulfobacteraceae
Description: tRNA-Ser
Rfam family: tRNA
About the family: Transfer RNA (tRNA) molecules are approximately 80 nucleotides in length. Their secondary structure includes four short double-helical elements and three loops (D, anti-codon, and T loops).
Source: RNAcentral
GGAGGAGUGGCCGAGUGGCUGAAGGCGGCGGUCUUGAAAACCGUUAAGUGUUAAAGCUUCGUGGGUUCGAAUCCUACCUCCUCCGCCA